GUUCAUAGCCCUGUCACCCUGAAUGUGUCUGAUGUCUCCUAAUCUUGGUAGCUAAGCAGGAUUGGGCUGGUUAUUAUUUGAUAGGAGACCACUAGCUAACUUCCAACUUCUGGGCU
This is a ribosomal RNA of Cercocebus atys (sooty mangabey), 116 nucleotides long. The record is from Ensembl. NCBI's taxonomy places the organism in Eukaryota, Metazoa, Chordata, Mammalia, Primates, Cercopithecidae.